AUGCUCACUUCGGCAGCACAUAUGCUAAAAUAGGAACGAUACAGAGAAGAUUAGCAUGGCCCCUGCGCGAGGAUGACAUGCAAAUUCGUGAAGUGUUCCAUAUUUUU
RNAcentral lists this small nuclear RNA (107 nucleotides) under Cebus imitator (Panamanian white-faced capuchin). The record is from RNAcentral. Lineage: Eukaryota; Metazoa; Chordata; Mammalia; Primates; Cebidae.